AUUGAACGCUGGCGGCAGGCCUAACACAUGCAAGUCGAGCGGCAGCGGGAAAGUAGCUUGCUACUUUUGCCGGCGAGCGGCGGACGGGUGAGUAAUGCCUGGGAAAUUGCCCAGUCGAGGGGGAUAACAGUUGGAAACGACUGCUAAUACCGCAUACGCCCUACGGGGGAAAGCAGGGGACCUUCGGGCCUUGCGCGAUUGGGUAUGCCCAGGUGGGAGUAGCUAGUUGGUGAGGUAAUGGCUCACCAAGGCGACGAUCCCUAGCUGGUCUGAGAGGAUGAUCAGCCACACUGGAACUGAGACACGGUCCAGACUCCUACGGGAGGCAGCAGUGGGGAAUAUUGCACAAUGGGGGAAACCCUGAUGCAGCCAUGCCGCGUGUGUGAAGAAGGCCUUCGGGUUGUAAAGCACUUUCAGCGAGGAGGAAAGGUUGAUGCCUAAUACGUAUCAACUGUGACGUUACUCGCAGAAGAAGCACCGGCUAACUACGUGCCAGCCGCCGCCGUAA
RNAcentral lists this ribosomal RNA (508 nucleotides) under uncultured bacterium. Its description in RNAcentral is "partial 16S ribosomal RNA". It matches the Rfam family "Bacterial small subunit ribosomal RNA", at positions 30 to 523 of the family's 1533-position model. The record is from RNAcentral.